RNAcentral lists this long non-coding RNA (1282 nucleotides) under Pongo abelii (Sumatran orangutan). Its description in RNAcentral is "lincRNA". The record is from RNAcentral. Lineage: Eukaryota; Metazoa; Chordata; Mammalia; Primates; Hominidae.
GCUCCAGGCACGUGCCAGAGUGCUCCCCAUGCUGUAAACUAUUGGUCUUUACAGAGAGCUGGGAGAAGGCACUGUUUUUUGCAUUUUACAGAAUAUGCAGAGAGGUUCAGCGACCUGCCCCAGGCCACACAGAGGCACAAAGAUGCAGACCUGUGGUGUCUGCAUUGGGGACUCCUGUAGUGUCGCAAGGGGAAUGGCAUCCACAAAGUUCCCGACAGGUAGACCCAGGACACUUAGGUAAGGUCCCAAGCCGUGUGUCCCAAGGGACGGGCUUCUUUCCAUCCCUGGCUCGGCCUCUCUCCCCGGAACCAGAGGUGCCCCAGGAGGGAGGCUGAAGGUAACGCGACACCUGGAUACCAAACAUCCUCAUAGCGACCUUUCUGGAUGAUCAGCCACAAAGCGGAGGUGAGAAAUGGGAGCUGGAGCAGUCAGGGCCAGGCUCCCAGAGCCAACCCCGAGGCUAUGGAGUGGCACAGUGGUCCUGGCCACAGAAGGGCAGGCAUAGAUGUUUUCUGCACAGCCUCACUCCAUGUCUUGGGAGGGGUAUCAGAGAGGGUAGAGACUGGGAAAGGACUGUGAGGAAAUUCACAAGCUCAUUGUGACUGGGAGAGCCCCGCGGGAUAACACCCAGCAUGUCAGGGAUGCACUGGAGCCGUGGCCCCAGAAAUCUGGAAACGAACCCUUGAUUCCAGACAACCAGGGCUGGCUCUGAGGUGCAGCGCUGAGCAAGGCUGGUGGCUCCUGCCUGCCCAGAGCUCACGCUGCAGUGGAGGUGACAUGGCACCUGGGUAUGUGACAGCCUCCAUGCGGUGACAGGAGGGCACCUGCUGACACCUCCCCCUCAGGGGCCAGUGUGACAUGUGAACAGGUCCCUGUGUCCCAGCAGCGAGCAGGUCCUGAUCCACACACGGACGACUGAAGGACUGCACUUCUGAAGUGGGGGACAGGGAGGGGAGGGGCAGGAGAGGAAGGAAGAGGAGGAGCCGCUGGACUUGACUUUUUUUAUGGCUUUGCCCAGCAAGGAAGUCUGGAAUUCACAUUAACAUAAACUAUAAACGCAGAAUCAGUUGAUAAGGACAGUUAGUGAGGAGAUGGUCUUUUGGGGAUAAAAUCUGGCAGGAUUGCUGACCUGGACUCCAUCAUCUAAAGUUUUCACACACAAUGACCAUUACGUUGUGAUGCAUAAAACAAGUAACUUAAUAUGUAUUUUUGUCUGAUUACAAAAGCAUUGUGUUCACUUUGGAAAAUAUAGAAAAUAAAAAUAAAAUAUACUUUAACAGCA